Molecule: ribosomal RNA, 301 nt
Filed under: uncultured bacterium
Lineage: Bacteria
Description: bacterial SSU rRNA
Rfam family: Bacterial small subunit ribosomal RNA
Source: RNAcentral
GACGAACGCUGGCGGCGUGCUUAACACAUGCAAGUCGAGCGGUAAGGCCCUUUCGGGGGUACACGAGCGGCGAACGGGUGAGUAACACGUGGGUGACCUGCCCUCAGCUCUGGGAUAAAGCCUGGGAAACUGGGUCUAAUACUGGGUAUGACUCCACGGUGCAUGUCGUGGGGUGGAAAGCCUUGUGCGGCUGAGGAUGGGCCCGCGGCCUAUCAGCUUGUUGGUGGGGUGANGGCCUACCAAGGCGACGACGGGUAGCCGGCCUGAGAGGGCGACCGGCCACACUGGGACUGAGACACGG